AGGGUUUGAUUCUGGCUCAGAACGUACGCUGGCGGCACGCCUAACACAUGCAAGUCGAACGAAGUAGCAAUACUUAGUGGCAGACGGGUGAGUAACAUGUAGGUAUCUGCCCUUUGGCCUGGAAUAACACGAGGAAACUUGUGCUAAUACCGGAUAAGUCCUUACGGAGAAAGCUUUAUGCACCAUUGGAUGAGCCUGCACUUGAUUAGUUUGUUGGUGGGGUAAUGGCCUACCAAGACUGUGAUCAAUAGCUGAUUUGAGAGGAUGAUCAGCCACAUUGGGACUGAGACACGGCCCAAACUCCUACGGGAGGCAGCAGUGGGGAAUCUUGCACAAUGGAGGAAACUCUGAUGCAGCGAUGCCGCGUGAGUGAAGAAGGCCCUUGGGUUGUAAAGCUCUUUCGUCGGGGAAGAAAAUGACUGUACCCGAAUAAGAAGGUCCGGCUAACUUCGUGCCAGCCGCCGCGGUAAUAC
RNAcentral lists this ribosomal RNA (473 nucleotides) under uncultured bacterium. RNAcentral describes it as "bacterial SSU rRNA". It matches the Rfam family "Bacterial small subunit ribosomal RNA", at positions 8 to 526 of the family's 1533-position model. The record is from RNAcentral.